RNAcentral lists this ribosomal RNA (429 nucleotides) under Chloroflexota bacterium. RNAcentral's name for it is "Chloroflexi bacterium partial 16S ribosomal RNA". It matches the Rfam family "Bacterial small subunit ribosomal RNA", at positions 355 to 776 of the family's 1533-position model. Lineage: Bacteria; Bacillati; Chloroflexota. The record is from RNAcentral.
UGGGGAAUAUUGCACAAUGGGCGCAAGCCUGAUGCAGCCAUGCCGCGUGUGUGAAGAAGGCCUUCGGGUUGUAAAGCACUUUCAGCGGGGAGGAAGGCGUUAAGGUUAAUAACCUUGGCGAUUGACGUUACCCGCAGAAGAAGCACCGGCUAACUCCGUGCCAGCAGCCGCGGUAAUACGGAGGGUGCAAGCGUUAAUCGGAAUUACUGGGCGUAAAGCGCACGCAGGCGGUUGAUUGAGUCAGAUGUGAAAUCCCCGGGCUUAACCCGGGAAUUGCAUCUGAUACUGGUCAGCUAGAGUCUUGUAGAGGGGGGUAGAAGUCCAUGUGUAGCGGUGAAAUGCGUAGAGAUGUGGAGGAAUACCGGUGGCGAAGGCGGCCCCCUGGACAAAGACUGACGCUCAGGUGCGAAAGCGUGGGGAGCAAACAGG